GGAUUCUCUUUCUUCUAGAUUUAAUUUCUAUUUGAAUAUGAUUCAAAAUAGGAUAAAAUUCUACCUGAUACGGCAUGUAAAGAAAUUUUUGUGUGACAAAAAAUUUUGGAAAAGAAUUGGCAUGCGCUAAUUUGUGUGGGAGUUCUUUUCUUGCUGCACAACUUCAUCUCCAUGCCCUUCUAACCCUUGGUUUGGAUUUGAACACCUAAGAUCAAAUAAGAUUUGAUCUUUUAGGGCAUUAAGAAGAGGUUAUGCAUGAGAUAAUAAAAAAAGUGUGA
This 278-nucleotide long non-coding RNA is filed under the name Elaeis guineensis (African oil palm). RNAcentral's name for it is "long non-coding RNA (EGUI_LNC045898)". The record is from RNAcentral. Lineage: Eukaryota; Viridiplantae; Streptophyta; Magnoliopsida; Arecales; Arecaceae.